Molecule: small nuclear RNA, 21 nt
Filed under: Arabidopsis thaliana (thale cress)
Lineage: Eukaryota; Viridiplantae; Streptophyta; Magnoliopsida; Brassicales; Brassicaceae
Description: snRNA_10640
Source: RNAcentral
AUAUACUGCAAGUUAAUAUCU